Molecule: long non-coding RNA, 250 nt
Organism: Arabidopsis thaliana (thale cress)
Lineage: Eukaryota; Viridiplantae; Streptophyta; Magnoliopsida; Brassicales; Brassicaceae
Product: other RNA
Exons: 1
Source: RefSeq
AGGCCGGAGCAAAUCGUCACAGUUGCGAGUAUGGAGUCUCGCUGAUAAAGGAUGGCUCCUCGAGGUUCAAAAGCGAUGGAUAGAUCGUGGGUUGAGCUUGGCAAGGGAACGGGGUUGCCGGGAAACGUCUCUUAGCUUCAACAUCCGAAGAAACAUCAAAGAGCUUUGGAUUAAAGGGGAAUAAUGGGGCUGACUGAGAUAAAGGCCAACAAUAGCGAGAUACAGGGGAUUUAGAAGAGCCAAUGAAAGC